AACAGCUCAAAUUUGAAAUCUGGCCCCUCUCGGGGUCCGAGUUGUAAUUUGUAGAGGAUGCUUCGGGCAAGGCCGCGGUCUAAGUCGCUUGGAACAGCGGGUCAGAGAGGGUGAGAAUCCCGUCCGGGGCCGCGCGCCGCGUCCGUGUGAAGCUCCUUCGACGAGUCGAGUUGUUUGGGAAUGCAGCUCUAAAUGGGUGGUAAAUUUCAUCUAAAGCUAAAUAUGGGCCAGAGACCGAUAGCGCACAAGUAGAGUGAUCGAAAGAUGAAAAGCACUUUGAAAAGAGAGUUAAACAGUAUGUGAAAUUGUUGAAAGGGAAGCGCUUGCGACCAGACUUGCGCGUGGCGGUUCCCCCGGCCCCUGGGCCGGGUUAGUCCGCCACGUCCAGGCCAGCAUGGGUCCGGAUGGGCGGUGAAAGGCCCCGGGAAUGUAUCUACCUUCGGGUCGACUUAUAGCCCGGGGUGCAAUGCGCCCCACCCGGACCGAGGAACGCGCUUCGGCUCGGAUGCUGGCGUAAUGGUCCUAAGCGGCCCGUCUUGAAACACGGACCAAGGAGUCUAACAUCUAUGCGAGUGUUUGGGUGUCAAACCCCUACGCGCAAUGAAAGUGAACGGAGGUAAGAACCCCGCAAGGGGCGCAUUAUCGACCGAUCCUGAUGUCUUCGGAUGGAUUUGAGUAAGAGCAUAGCUGUUGGGACCCGAAAGGUAAACAUCCACCCCCUUCUUUAGUGAUGACUUAACUAACUUGCAGCAGAUGGUGAACUAUGCCUGAAUAGGGUGAAGCCAGAGGAAACUCUGGUGGAGGCUCGCAGCGGUUCUGACGUGCAAAUCGAUCGUCAAAUUUGGGCAUAGGGGCGAAAGACCAAUCGAACCAUCCUUAUGACACGGUACAUCUCUGAGAGCGGUGCCAGGUGGUUAAUAUCCUGCCUUUUAGCUAGGUCAGUCCGAUACUUGGUGUCGGGCGACGUCAUCAGUCUUCGGGGAUGUCCUUAGGGCUAUCCGAAGUCGUCCCUACCCUGGGACGGCUCACAGACUAGGCAGUGACGGCCGGACCCCCUGCCUGGGGCCGGUGAUUAUAUAGUCGAGUAAAGUUACUGGCGUCUUACGAGACCCGUAACUUUAAACGCUGGUAGCUGGUUCCUGUCGAAGUUUCCCUCAGGAUAGCAGUAACGUUUUCAGUUUUAUGAGGUAAAGCGAAUGAUUAGAGGCCUUGGGGUUGAAACAACCUUAACCUAUUCUCAAACUUUAAAUAUGUAAGAAGUCCCUGUUGCUUAAUUGAAC
Molecule: ribosomal RNA, 1280 nt
Filed under: Placopyrenium fuscellum
Lineage: Eukaryota; Fungi; Ascomycota; Eurotiomycetes; Verrucariales; Verrucariaceae
Description: eukaryotic LSU rRNA
Rfam family: Eukaryotic large subunit ribosomal RNA
Source: RNAcentral